GUUAGACCAUUGCUAGAUGGAAGAGCGCAUUAUUAAAUAUUUAUUCCCCAUGUAGAUACAAUGGCCAUCCACUCCUGAGUGCCGUAGUUUUAUUCCAGAAAUGAUGAGCACCCGCAACUCACACUGAAGUCAACAUCUUUGGAUCAAAUAUGCCCUCAAUCACAGCUUUGCAAUCUCAGUGACUUCAGAGGGACUGUUUACCCGUCUGUCAAACAGCGUCCCUGCUGGUUCUUCAUUCAGCAUCUGUGCAGCCACGUUCUAUUGAUGGCCUGUUGUGAUUUCAAUGGAACAUCAUGGGAAUGUACCUGGCACGUCAGGCAGCACUGGAUGGAGGUGCCCUUAGUCCUAUGCACCUGGCAUGGAUCCUUGAUGAGGUUCACACCUCUGGAAAUGGUGCAUGCUAAGCGGUUGCUGUUACUGCAGGGUCACUGAAACUGGGCAGGAGCCUUCCUUUUAUAUCUGGGU
RNAcentral lists this long non-coding RNA (465 nucleotides) under Gopherus evgoodei (Goodes thornscrub tortoise). Its description in RNAcentral is "lncRNA (ENSGEVG00005010968.1)". Lineage: Eukaryota; Metazoa; Chordata; Testudines; Testudinidae. The record is from RNAcentral.